UUGGAGGGCAAGUCUGGUGCCAGCAGCCGCGGUAAUCCCAGCUCCAAUAGCGUAUAUUAAAGUUGUUGCAGUUAAAAAGCUCGUAGUUGAAUUUCGGGGUUAGUAGGUUGGUCAUGCCUCUGGUAUGUACUGGUCUCACUGAUUCCUCCUUCCUGAUGAACCUUAAUGCCAUUAAUUUGGUGUUUUGGGGAAUUUGGACUGUUACUUUGAAAAAAUUAGAGUGUUUAAAGCAAGCUAACGCUUGAAUACAUUAGCAUGGAAUAAUGAAAUAGGACGUUCGAUCCUAUUUUGUUGGUUUCUAGGAUUGACGUAAUGAUUAAUAGGGAUAGUUGGGGCAUUAGUAUUCAAUUGUCAGAGGUGAAAUUCUUGGAUUUAUUGAAGACUAACUACUGCGAAAGCAUUUGCCAAGGAUGUUUUCAUUAAUCAAGAACGAAAGUUAGGGGAUCGAAGACGAUCAGAUACCGUCGUAGUCUUAACCAUAAACUAUGCCGACUAGGGAUCGGAUGAUGUUAAUUUUUUAAUGACUCAUUCGGCGCCUUACGGGAAAC
This 548-nucleotide ribosomal RNA is filed under the name uncultured Glomeromycotina. RNAcentral describes it as "SSU rRNA". It matches the Rfam family "Eukaryotic small subunit ribosomal RNA", at positions 548 to 1098 of the family's 1831-position model. The record is from RNAcentral. Lineage: Eukaryota; Fungi; Glomeromycota.